Molecule: ribosomal RNA, 253 nt
Filed under: uncultured bacterium
Lineage: Bacteria
Description: partial 16S ribosomal RNA
Rfam family: Bacterial small subunit ribosomal RNA
Source: RNAcentral
UACGUAGGGCGCAAGCGUUAUCCGGAAUUAUUGGGCGUAAAGAGCUCGUAGGCGGCUUGUUGCGUCGUCCGUGAAAACCCGUGGCUCAACUGCGGGCUUGCGGUCGAUACGGGCAGGCUGGAGUUCGGUAGGGGAGACUGGAAUUCCUGGUGUAGCGGUGAAAUGCGCAGAUAUCAGGAGGAACACCGGUGGCGAAGGCGGGUCUCUGGGCCGAUACUGACGCUGAGGAGCGAAAGCGUGGGGAGCGAACAGG